CCCGUCCCCUUCCUCUCUGUGCGGGUGGACAGCGGAGCUGCAGCAUCCACCGGGCCACGGCGGGACCCGAGUUCCAGCCGGACAGCGGCCGCGCGCGGGCUCCGGCUUUGGUCUCUACAGGCGAAGGCCGCCUGAGGGUCGGAGGCUGAGGGGAGCAGCGCUCCCCACGCCCUGGCCGGCCUGGCCCACCACCCAGAGGCGCACCCCGCUGGGGCUCAAUAGGGCUCUGUACUAGUUUCGGGGUACUCUCUGCUGCUCAUCCGCUGAGGCACCAGCACACAGUGCCACCUCGGCUCCGGGCGGUCCGGCUACCCUGCGGGCUCUGUCUUCAUCUGAAGAGAAAGAACCCCGCAGAGCCCGAGUUCGAAGCCCGGCCGUUCGCAGCCGCUGCUGCCUCAGCCCUUCGGAGGCGGAAGUUUAUUGAGUACAGGAGAGGAGAGGCUUUUCCCUAGGAUGCUUCCUACCCGCUCGCACUCGGGGAUCCUGACGCCCGCGAUGCUGAGCCGAGUGCCGAAGGGCUACCUCCGACAGACCGUCCGGGAGGGCGAGCUGGGCGGGAGGACCCAGCCGCGCAGCCAGGGCACACAAAGUAGUCGCGGGCCGAAGGGGUGCUGCCGGGGCCAAUCAGAGCGGGAAAACCAGUGAGUGGAGUGCGAACUGGCCAAUCAGAGGGCCGGAAGAUGAGCUUCCCGUGCCGAACUCUUCCCUGUAGCCUGGGGACCAGAUCCCAAGCCUGAGGACUCAGCCGGGUGACUGAGUAGAAAAGCUGCCCUCAAGACAAUUAUUCCUCCCAGCACAGAUAAAUACUAGUAAAUACUUUGGAAACGUAUCUCUGAGUAAACAGGGCCACCCUUUUAUAUGCUAGUAAUCAAAAAAACACAGAAAAGACAUUAAAGAGGUCGUAGCCUGCCAAGAAUGCAACCUACCUAAUAACUCUCAUAAAUUCCCAAUGUUUAUUCUAUAUCAGGAACUGUGUUUCUAAAAUGCAAAGGACAGUGCUUUUUAAAAAGGAAAAAAAAAAAAAUGCCUGUGCCUUCAGGAGCUCCGCACCCUGAGAAGCUUUUCCGGACCUGUGACUGGGUUAAUGUCUCUUCGAAAUAAAGCUCUCUGAGAAAACACCGUGGCUUAUUGAAGGUCACACAAAACUCUGGUGAAGUCAGAAUUAUGAUCUAGCCAAAAAGCUUGGGUGUCAUCAUUCAACAAAUCUGUAGUCAUUUAUUAAAUGCGUAGAUAACUUCCGUGAGACUCUCAGUUCUCUGUUGCAAAUAAGCAAAAUUUAGGCUUAUACUGUACUUAGAUGGAUUAAGGGCUAAAAUUUCAACAGUCAAAACCCUGAAUUAUUUUUCCUUUUGUGUGAGUAUGUGCAUGCUAAGGGUGUGUUUUCUCCUGGGCUACACCCACAGCCUGGAACAUUUUUAGGAGUCAGAGGUAAAAUGUUUACUUUGAGGCUUCAGCACAGCAUUUAAAAAGCACUUUAACAAGGAUGUAUGGCUUGAAUGUAUUCAAGGGAAAAAGAGGAACCAUUUCUAGUUAAUUAACACACGCUACCAUUUGCAGUACUUGAAGAUCUCUACAUUCAAAGUUUUAUGUGUGCCUCGAACUCUCUGCUCCUUUAAUCUGGCUUUAAUUAUCUCCUAGGAAAUAUUAAAACUAUAGGAAUCAAAGCAUCCCACCUACUUUCUAUUUAAGAAAAAGCCACUAGAAAUAUUUGUGAAGAACUUAGUACAUCUUUAUAGAACAGCAUAGUAUAUAAGAAAGCGCCAAACUGAUGACUCUGAAAUACAGUGAGAAAGUAGUUCUUCAGCAGUUCAGGUCUCUGCUCAGUGUCACAGUACGCUGCUCUCAAAGAUCCUUCAGGCCAUGCUCAGGAUAUAGUUACCAUCCCAGAAUUAGAAGUAUCAGCUAAGCAACUGAUAUGUGGGAACAAAUCUUUUCACAUUCAGUUCUAGACCAGUAAUGAAUUUCUGGAAAAUUCAAACAAGAAGUAAUACUAACUGAGCUCUUUGAAAACUACAGUCUUAAAUCGAUCGAUUGCUGCGACGCAUACCUGAUUCUAGCACUGAGGAGGGAAAGCUGAGGCCAAAGGAUUGUUUUAAGUUAUAGUCUAGCCUGGACUAUCUAGUGAGCUAGAAAGACCCUGUCUCAAAUAAUAGUAGUGACUAAUUGAUUCCAAAAAAAAUUGGGAAGGAAGGCUCAGUUUUGGGAGUGUUUGUCUAGCAUACUACAAAUCCUAGAUUCAACCUCCAACACUAUAAAGGAAAAUAUAUAUAUAUAUUACUACAUGUCUUCUAUUCUCUCCAAAGGGACUCUGUAACUCAAAUCUUCCACAAGCCAGUUAAGUGUUAACCGGUUGUACACAUCACUCACAGAGAGCACACCUUGUGAGGGCGUUUUCUCUAUAGUCUGCAGCCUCCCACUCUGUGGCUGAAACUCCUCACACUCUCUCUUCUCGCUCCAGCUGCUCACUUGGGUCUCUAGUCCCUGGCUUCUGAUUUGCAUUAACACAAGAUGGGAUGUCACCUCAUCCCCCACUGUUCCCUUCUGAAAUGAAGUCAUGAGCCUAUCUUUACUUAGCCUCAAAAUCACAGACAGGUUCAGC
Molecule: long non-coding RNA, 2599 nt
Filed under: Mus musculus (house mouse)
Lineage: Eukaryota; Metazoa; Chordata; Mammalia; Rodentia; Muridae
Description: RIKEN cDNA 9530018F02 gene
Source: RNAcentral